AGCGGAUUGAUGGGAGCUUGCUCCCUGAUAUCAGCGGCGGACGGGUGAGUAACACGUGGGUAACCUGCCUGUAAGAUCGGGAUAACUCCGGGAAACCGGGGCUAAUACCGGAUAAUUCAUUCCCUCGCAUGAGGGAAUGUUGAAAGGUGGCUUUUAGCUACCACUUACAGAUGGACCCGCGGCGCAUUAGCUAGUUGGUGAGGUAACGGCUCACCAAGGCGACGAUGCGUAGCCGACCUGAGAGGGUGAUCGGCCACACUGGGACUGAGACACGGCCCAGACUCCUACGGGAGGCAGCAGUAGGGAAUCUUCCGCAAUGGACGAAAGUCUGACGGAGCAACGCCGCGUGAGUGAUGAAGGUUUUCGGAUCGUAAAGCUCUGUUGUUAGGGAAGAACAAGUGCCGUUCGAAUAGGGCGGCACCUUGACGGUACCUAACCAGAAAGCCACGGCUAACUACGUGCCAGCAGCCGCGGUAAUACGUAGGUGGCAAGCGUUGUCCGGAAUUAUUGGGCGUAAAGCGCGCGCAGGUGGUUCCUUAAGUCUGAUGUGAAAGCCCACGGCUCAACCGUGGAGGGUCAUUGGAAACUGGGGAACUUGAGUGCAGAAGAGGAAAGUGGAAUUCCAAGUGUAGCGGUGAAAUGCGUAGAUAUUUGGAGGAACACCAGUGGCGAAGGCGACUUUCUGGUCUGUAACUGACACUGAGGCGCGAAAGCGUGGGGAGCAAACAGGAUUAGAUACC
RNAcentral lists this ribosomal RNA (740 nucleotides) under Rossellomorea aquimaris. RNAcentral's name for it is "bacterial SSU rRNA". It matches the Rfam family "Bacterial small subunit ribosomal RNA", at positions 65 to 786 of the family's 1533-position model. Lineage: Bacteria; Bacillati; Bacillota; Bacilli; Caryophanales; Bacillaceae. The record is from RNAcentral.